RNAcentral lists this ribosomal RNA (408 nucleotides) under uncultured bacterium. RNAcentral's name for it is "partial 16S ribosomal RNA". It matches the Rfam family "Bacterial small subunit ribosomal RNA", at positions 28 to 526 of the family's 1533-position model. The record is from RNAcentral.
GACGAACGCUGGCGGCGUGCUUAACACAUGCAAGUCGAACGAAGUGGCGAACGGGUGAGUAACGCGUAAUCAACCUGCCCUUCAGAGGGGGACAACAGUUGGAAACGACUGCUAAUACCGAAUACUGAAGGAGGGGAUUGCGUCGGAUUAGCUAGUUGGAGGGGGAACGGCCCACCAAGGCGAUGAUCAGUAGCCGGUCUGAGAGGAUUAACGGCCACAUUGGGACUGAGACACGGCCCAGACUCCUACGGGAGGCAGCAGUGGGGACUCUUCCGCAAUGGACUAAAGUCUGACGGAGCAACGCCGCGUGAGGGAUGACGGCUUUCGGGUUGUAAAGCUCUGUUAAUCGGGACGCGGUACCGGAAUAGAAAGCCACGGCUAACUACGUGCCAGCAGCCGCGGUAAUUC